ACGGGUGAGUAACGCGUGGGAACAUACCCUUUUCUACGGAAUAGCUCUGGGAAACUGGAAUUAAUACCGUAUACGCCCUACGGGGGAAGGAUUUAUCGGGGAAGGAUUGGCCCGCGUUGGAUUAGCUAGUUGGUGGGGUAAAGGCCUACCAAGGCGACGAUCCAUAGCUGGUCUGAGAGGAUGAUCAGCCACAUUGGGACUGAGACACGGCCCAAACUCCUACGGGAGGCAGCAGUGGGGAAUAUUGGACAAUGGGCGCAAGCCUGAUCCAGCCAUGCCGCGUGAGUGAUGAAGGCCUUAGGGUUGUAAAGCUCUUUCACCGAUGAAGAUAAUGACGGUAGUCGGAGAAGAAGCCCCGGCUAACUUCGUGCCAGCAGCCGCGGUAAUACGAAGGGGGCUAGCGUUGUUCGGAAUUACUGGGCGUAAAGCGCACGUAGGCGGAUAUUUAAGUCAGGGGUGAAAUCCCAGAGCUCAACUCUGGAACUGCCUUUGAUACUGGGUAUCUUGAGUAUGGAAGAGGUAAGUGGAAUUGCGAGU
RNAcentral lists this ribosomal RNA (537 nucleotides) under uncultured bacterium. RNAcentral's name for it is "bacterial SSU rRNA". It matches the Rfam family "Bacterial small subunit ribosomal RNA", at positions 102 to 674 of the family's 1533-position model. The record is from RNAcentral.